ACUUUCUAGAUGAGGACAUUGAAAAUCCUGAGAGAUCCGGUGACAGGCCACCUAAGAAGCUGGGAUCCAGGUUUCAAUGGCCAGUGUGCCUUUGCUGCACGGACCACAGCCUUAGCUGACCUCAGCUGAGUUGCUCACCUGUCACUUCGAGCCUUCAACAGACACUAAAGCCUAGAGUUGUUCCAUGUGGGGGGAUCUUCCCGAGCCGGGGAUUGAACCUACAUCUCCAGCGUCUCCUGCAUUAGCAGCCCUGCUGUGUCCUACUGAGAUGAAGAAAAGGACAGCAAAAUAUCCAGAGACAACCCGGAAGGAAGGUAUAAAGGCAGCAGGAAGGAACUUCGGGGAUGUUUAGCACAAUGCCCACUCCAAUACUUUGGCCACCUCAUGUGAAAAGUUGACUCAUUGGAAAAAGACCCUGAUGCUGGGAGGGAUUGGGGGCAGGAGGAGAAGGGGACGACAGAGGAUGAGAUGGCUGGAUGGCAUCACCGACUCGAUGGACAUGAGUUUGGGUAAACGCCGGGAGUUGGUGAUGGACAGGGAGGCUGGCGUGCUGUGGUUCAUGGGGUCACAAAGAGUUGGAGACGACUGAGCCACUGAACUGAACCGAGCUGAACUGAGCACAAUGCCUGCUAUGCCUUUCUGGGGGAAUUUUAACUCCUCUGCCAAGGC
Bos taurus (domestic cattle) is the source of this 669-nucleotide long non-coding RNA. NCBI's taxonomy places the organism in Eukaryota, Metazoa, Chordata, Mammalia, Artiodactyla, Bovidae. The record is from Ensembl.